GAUGAACGCUGGCGGCGUGCUUAACACAUGCAAGUCGAACGAAGCAUUUGCGACAGAUUUUUUCGGAAUGAAGUUGCUUAUGACUGAGUGGCGGACGGGUGAGUAACGCGUGGGUAACCUGCCUUGUACUGGGGGAUAGCAGCUGGAAACGGCUGGUAAUACCGCAUAAGCGCACAAUGUUGCAUGACAUGGUGUGAAAAACUCCGGUGGUAUAAGAUGGACCCGCGUCUGAUUAGCUAGUUGGUGAGAUAACAGCCCACCAAGGCGACGAUCAGUAGCCGACCUGAGAGGGUGACCGGCCACAUUGGGACUGAGACAUGGCCCAGACUCCUACGGGAGGCAGCAGUGGGGAAUAUUGCACAAUGGAGGAAACUCUGAUGCAGCGACGCCGCGUGAGUGAAGAAGUAAUUCGUUAUGUAAAGCUCUAUCAGCAGGGAAGAUAGUGACGGUACCUGACUAAGAAGCUCCGGCUAAAUACGUG
This 481-nucleotide ribosomal RNA is filed under the name uncultured bacterium. RNAcentral describes it as "partial 16S ribosomal RNA". It matches the Rfam family "Bacterial small subunit ribosomal RNA", at positions 28 to 507 of the family's 1533-position model. The record is from RNAcentral.